RNAcentral lists this ribosomal RNA (413 nucleotides) under uncultured eukaryote. Its description in RNAcentral is "partial 18S ribosomal RNA". It matches the Rfam family "Eukaryotic small subunit ribosomal RNA", at positions 592 to 975 of the family's 1831-position model. The record is from RNAcentral.
CAUGAGUGUAUAUUAAAGUUGUUGCAGUUAAAAAGUCCGUAGUUGGAACUCGAGUCAUUGUGUGUUUGGUCGGCCGAGACGGCAUGAACCGACACGCAUGGCUUUCUUUCAGGUAGCUCGCUGCAAUUCUUUAGUGAGUUGUGGUUCAGUUGUUUCGGCAGCUGAUGCGGAUUCCGUAGUGCUCCUGAUCGUUUACUGUCAAUAAAUCAGCGUGCUCCAAGCAGGCUUAUGCCAUGAAUAUAUCAGGAUGGGAUAAUAGAACAAGACUUUAUGCUUUGUUUUGUUGGUAACGGGCAAAAGUAAUGAUUAACAGGAAGCGGCGGGGCCGAUACUAUUGCUAAGCCAGAGGUGAAAUUCGUAGACUUUAGCAGGAGUAACUAAUGCGAAAGCAUCCGGCAAGAAGCUCUNCGUUA